This 581-nucleotide ribosomal RNA is filed under the name uncultured bacterium. Its description in RNAcentral is "partial 16S ribosomal RNA". It matches the Rfam family "Bacterial small subunit ribosomal RNA", at positions 355 to 932 of the family's 1533-position model. The record is from RNAcentral.
UGGGGAAUUUUGGACAAUGGGCGCAAGCCUGAUCCAGCCAUGCCGCGUGCGGGAAGAAGGCCUUCGGGUUGUAAACCGCUUUUGUCAGGGAAGAAAUCUUCUGAGUUAAUACCUCGGGAGGAUGACGGUACCUGAAGAAUAAGCACCGGCUAACUACGUGCCAGCAGCCGCGGUAAUACGUAGGGUGCAAGCGUUAAUCGGAAUUACUGGGCGUAAAGCGUGCGCAGGCGGUUUUGUAAGACAGAGGUGAAAUCCCCGGGCUCAACCUGGGAACUGCCUUUGUGACUGCAAGGCUUGAGUGCGGCAGAGGGGGAUGGAAUUCCGCGUGUAGCAGUGAAAUGCGUAGAUAUGCGGAGGAACACCGAUGGCGAAGGCAAUCCCCUGGGCCUGCACUGACGCUCAUGCACGAAAGCGUGGGGAGCAAACAGGAUUAGAUACCCUGGUAGUCCACGCCCUAAACCGAUGUCAACUGGUUGUUGGGAAGGUUCCUUCUCAGUAACGUAGCUAACGCGUGAAGUUGACCGCCUGGGGGAGUACGGCCGCAAGGUUGAAACUCAAAUGAAUUGACGGGGUCAUAGCUG